CGGCGAGCGAAACGGGAACAGCCCAAACCAUACGUAUUUAUAUGUGUGGGGUUGUAGGGCGGUAGCAGCAUUUAGUUGCGCAGAGUUACCAAGUUGGAAUAUAGCAGAACUAACUGGGAAGUUAGACCCUAGUGGGUAAUAGUCCCGUAUGCGAAAUGUUCCAGCCUCUGUGGUUACCGUUCCUGAGUAGUUCGAGACAUGAAUAGCUCGAAUGAAUCUGGGAGAACUAACUCCUAAGGCUAAAUAUUUUCUUAGACCGAUAGUGAACUAGUACCGUGAGGGAAAGGCGAAAAGAACCCCGGAGAGGGGAGUGAAAUAGAUCUGAAACCAUACAUCUACAAGGAGUCGGAGCCCUGCGGGGCGACGGCGUGCCUAUUGAAGAAUGAGCCGGCGAGUGUACCUUUGUCCUUGUCUAAGUGGAAACCCCACGGAGGCACAGUGAAAGCGAGCGUGAAUAGCGCGAAAUAAUAAGGGCGGGGGUACGACCCGAAGCGGGAUGAGCUUGCCAUGAGCAGGGUGAAGCGGAAGUAAAAUUUCGUGGAGGCCCGAACCGGUUGGCUGUACAAAACCAUCGGAUGACUUGUGGUAAGGAGUGAAAAGCUUAUCGAAUUCCGUAAUAGCUGGUUCUCUCCGAAACAGCUUUAGGGUUGGCGUCACAUGUUCCUACUGGGGGUAGAGCACUGGCAGGUGUGAAUAGGGCGAAAGCUCGUCACUCCUAUCAAACUCCGAAUACCAGUAGUCAAAAGUGUGGCAGUUAGAGUCAGGGGGCGAAGCUCCUGUGCUCAAAAGGGAAACAGCCCAGAUCGCAGUUUAAGGUCCCUAAAUCGAUACUAAGUACAAGCGAGGAGGUGAGGUUUCUUCGACAGUGAGGAGGUUGGCUUAGAAGCAGCCACCCUU
RNAcentral lists this ribosomal RNA (897 nucleotides) under Isochrysis galbana. RNAcentral's name for it is "partial Bacterial large subunit ribosomal RNA". It matches the Rfam family "Bacterial large subunit ribosomal RNA", at positions 247 to 1123 of the family's 2925-position model. Lineage: Eukaryota; Haptophyta; Isochrysidales; Isochrysidaceae. The record is from RNAcentral.